GAUGAACGCUGGCGGCGUGCCUAAUACAUGCAAGUCGAGCGAACAGACGAGGAGCUUGCUCCUCUGACGUUAGCGGCGGACGGGUGAGUAACACGUGGAUAAACUACCUAUAAGACUGGGAUAACUUCGGGAAACCGGAGCUAAUACCGGAUAAUAUAUUGAACCGCAUGGUUCAAUAGUGAAAGACGGUUUUGCUGUCGCUUAUAGAUGGAUCCGCGCUGCAUUAGCUAGUUGGUAAGGUAACGGCUUACCAAGGCAGCGAUGCGUAGCCGACCUGAGAGGGUGAUCCGCCACCCGGGAACUGAGACACGGUCCAGACUCCUACGGUGGGCAGCAGUAGGGAAUCUUCCGCAAUGGACGAAAGCCGGACGGAGCAACGCCGCGUGAGUGAUGAAGGUCUUCUGAUCGUAAAACUCUGUUAGUAGGGAAGAACAAAUGUGUAAGUACCUAGGCACAUCUUGACGGUACCUAAUCAGAAAGCUACGGCUAACUCCGUG
RNAcentral lists this ribosomal RNA (497 nucleotides) under uncultured bacterium. RNAcentral's name for it is "partial 16S ribosomal RNA". It matches the Rfam family "Bacterial small subunit ribosomal RNA", at positions 28 to 507 of the family's 1533-position model. The record is from RNAcentral.